GUCCUUUAGAAUUUAAUUAUAGGUCUAGCCUGCCCACUGAAUUUUAAAUGGCCGCAGUAAUUUGACUGUGCAAAGGUAGCAUAAUCAUUAGUUUUUUAAUUAAAAGCUUGUAUGAAAGGUUGGACGAAGUAAAAUCUGUCUCUAUUUAAUUUAAAUUAGAAUUUAACUUUUAAGUUAAAAGGCUUAAAUUUAAUUAAAAGACGAGAAGACCCUAUAGAUCUUUAUAAUUUAUUUAUUAAAUUUGAUUAGGAAUAUUUUUAAUUUUAUUAAAAUAAUUAUUUUAUUGGGGUAAUAUAAAGAUUAAAAUAAUUCUUUUUUUAUGUAAACAUUUAUUUAUGGUUUUAAUGAUCCAAUUUUAUUGAUUAUAAGAUUAAGUUACCUUAGGGAUAACAGCGUAAUUUUUUUUGAGAGUUCUUAUCGAUAAAAAAGUUUGCGACCUCGAUGUUGGAUUAAAGAUUAUUUCAGGUGUAGAAGUUUGAAAAUUUUGGUCUGUUCGACCAUUAAAUCUUUACAUGAUCUGAGUUCAGACCGGUGUAAGCCAGGUCGGUUUCUAUCUUUAAUAAGUUAAAAUAUUUUAGUACGAAAGGACCAAUUAUUUAAUAUAAAAUAUUUAAAUUUUGAUUAUUAUUAA
Molecule: ribosomal RNA, 631 nt
Filed under: Nebria sadona ohdaiensis
Lineage: Eukaryota; Metazoa; Arthropoda; Insecta; Coleoptera; Carabidae
Description: partial large subunit ribosomal RNA
Rfam family: Bacterial large subunit ribosomal RNA
Source: RNAcentral